UACGUAGGGUGCAAGCGUUGUCCGGAAUUAUUGGGCGUAAAGAGCUCGUAGGCGGUCUGUUGCGUCGGCUGUGAAAACCCGGGGCUCAACUCCGGGCCUGCAGCCGAUACGGGCAGACUAGAGUUCGGCAGGGGAGACUGGAAUUCCUGGUGUAGCGGUGAAAUGCGCAGAUAUCAGGAGGAACACCGGUGGCGAAGGCGGGUCUCUGGGCCGAUACUGACGCUGAGGGGCGAAAGCGUGGGGAGCGAACAGG
RNAcentral lists this ribosomal RNA (253 nucleotides) under uncultured bacterium. RNAcentral's name for it is "partial 16S ribosomal RNA". It matches the Rfam family "Bacterial small subunit ribosomal RNA", at positions 524 to 776 of the family's 1533-position model. The record is from RNAcentral.